AGUGAACGCUGGCGGUAGGCCUAACACAUGCAAGUCGAACGGCAGCACAGUAGGAGCUUGCUCUUACGGGUGGCGAGUGGCGGACGGGUGAGGAAUACAUCGGAAUCUACUUUUUCGUGGGGGAUAACGUAGGGAAACUUACGCUAAUACCGCAUACGACCUACGGGUGAAAGCAGGGGAUCUUCGGACCUUGCGCGAUUGAAUGAGCCGAUGUCGGAUUAGCUAGUUGGCGGGGUAAAGGCCCACCAAGGCGACGAUCCGUAGCUGGUCUGAGAGGAUGAUCAGCCACACUGGAACUGAGACACGGUCCAGACUCCUACGGGAGGCAGCAGUGGGGAAUAUUGGACAAAGGGCGCAAGCCUGAUCCAGCCAUACCGCGUGGGUGAAGAAGGCCUUCGGGUUGUAAAGCCCUUUUGUUGGGAAAGAAAAGGAGCAGGUUAAUACCCCGCUGUUCUGACGGUACCCAAAGAAUAAGCACCGGCUAACUUCGUG
Molecule: ribosomal RNA, 492 nt
Filed under: uncultured bacterium
Lineage: Bacteria
Description: partial 16S ribosomal RNA
Rfam family: Bacterial small subunit ribosomal RNA
Source: RNAcentral